Molecule: ribosomal RNA, 255 nt
Filed under: Macrognathotermes sunteri
Lineage: Eukaryota; Metazoa; Arthropoda; Insecta; Blattodea; Termitidae
Description: partial 16S ribosomal RNA
Rfam family: Bacterial large subunit ribosomal RNA
Source: RNAcentral
UUUUGAUCCAUUAAUUUUGAUUAUAAGAUUAAAUUACCUUAGGGAUAACAGCGUUAUCUUCCUUGAGAGUUCUUAUUGGCGGGAAGGUUUGCGACCUCGAUGUUGGAUUAAGGUGAAUUUUCGGUGCAGGAGCUGAAAUUGAUUAGGUCUGUUCGACCUUUAAAAUCUUACAUGAUCUGAGUUCAGACCGGCGUGAGCCAGGUUGGUUUCUAUCUAUAAUAAAGUUUUAUGCCUUAGUACGAGAGGACCGGGUAU